Molecule: ribosomal RNA, 305 nt
Filed under: uncultured bacterium
Lineage: Bacteria
Description: bacterial SSU rRNA
Rfam family: Bacterial small subunit ribosomal RNA
Source: RNAcentral
GUUCCUACGGGGGGCAGCAGUAGGGAAUCUUCCGCAAUGGACGAAAGUCUGACGGAGCAACGCCGCGUGAGUGAUGAAGGCUUUCGGGUCGUAAAACUCUGUUGUUAGGGAAGAACAAGUGCUAGUUGAAUAAGCUGGCACCUUGACGGUACCUAACCAGAACGCCACGGCUAACUACGUGCCAGCAGCCGCGGUAAUACGUAGGUGGCAAGCGUUAUCCGGAAUUAUUGGGCGUACAGCGCGCGCAGGCGGUUUCUUAAGUCUGAUGUGAGAGCCCACGGCGCAACCGUGGAGGGUCAUUGGAA